AUGCUGCUGCUGGCAGCACUAGUGGCCUCAGCCGCUUGGUCUUACGGAUUUGCACAGGAAAUUCCCAUGCAGAGGCCUAUAUCCAUCACCAAAUUCCAAAAAGAUGUACAGAUGACAUGUGAAAUUAAAACAUUAGGAGCAAAUUUUGGUGGCAACGUCAUACACUGGUACCUGCAGAAGGAGGGUGAAGCUCCACAAAGGCUCCUGUAUUAUUUCGAAGGAAAAGCUACCGUCGAAAGAGGAUUUCAAUCAAGCAGAUACAUGGUUCAAACAAUUCCUGACCAGAACUGGUGUUUUCUUAGAAUAAAAGACAUAAUUCCAGAUGAUGCUGCUACUUACUACUGCGCCUACUGGGAUCCUCACUUGUGGAACACCUGGAUCAAAUACUUUGGAACCGGGACAAAGCUAAUUGUCUCUA
This is a non-coding RNA of Acanthisitta chloris (rifleman), 418 nucleotides long. The record is from the annotation of a RefSeq genome assembly. NCBI's taxonomy places the organism in Eukaryota, Metazoa, Chordata, Aves, Passeriformes, Acanthisittidae.